GACGAACGCUGGCGGCGUGCUUAACACAUGCAAGUCGAACGGAAAGGCCCUGCUUUUGUGGGGUGCUCGAGUGGCGAACGGGUGAGUAACACGUGAGUAACCUGCCCUUGACUUUGGGAUAACUUCAGGAAACUGGGGCUAAUACCGGAUAGGAGCUCCUGCUGCAUGGUGGGGGUUGGAAAGUUUCGGCGGUUGGGGAUGGACUCGCGGCUUAUCAGCUUGUUGGUGGGGUAGUGGCUUACCAAGGCUUUGACGGGUAGCCGGCCUGAGAGGGUGACCGGCCACAUUGGGACUGAGAUACGGCCCAGACUCCUACGGGAGGCAGCAGUGGGGAAUAUUGCACAAUGGGCGGAAGCCUGAUGCAGCAACGCCGCGUGCGGGAUGACGGCCUUCGGGUUGUAAACCGCUUUCGCCUGUGAUGAAGCGUGAGUGACGGUAAUGGGGAAAGAAGCACCGGCUAACUACGGGC
RNAcentral lists this ribosomal RNA (469 nucleotides) under uncultured bacterium. RNAcentral describes it as "partial 16S ribosomal RNA". It matches the Rfam family "Bacterial small subunit ribosomal RNA", at positions 28 to 508 of the family's 1533-position model. The record is from RNAcentral.